CCUACGGGUGGUAGCAGUGAGGAAUAUUGGUCAAUGGCCGGAAGGCUGAACCAGCCAUGCCGCGUGAAGGUCAGUGCCCUAUGGGCGUUAAACUUCUUUUGUGCGGGAGCAAUAAUGGUCACGUGUGGCCAGACGAGAGUACCGUACGAAUAAGCAUCGGCUAACUCCGUGCCAGCAGCCGCGGUAAUACGGGGGAUGCAAGCGUUAUCCGGAUUUAUUGGGUUUAAAGGGUGCGUAGGCUGUGAGGUAAGUCAGCGGUGAAAUGCCCCCGCUCAACGGGGUGAAGUGCCUUUGAAACUGGCAAACUGGAGUGUGUGAGAGGAUAGUGGAAUUCCAGGUGUAGGAGUGAAAUCUGUAGAUAUCUGGAGGAACAUCAGUGGCGAAGGCGACUAUCUGGCACAUAACUGACGCUGAGGAGCGAAAGCGUGGGUAGCAAACAGGAUUAGAUACCCUAGUAGUC
This 460-nucleotide ribosomal RNA is filed under the name uncultured bacterium. RNAcentral describes it as "partial 16S ribosomal RNA". It matches the Rfam family "Bacterial small subunit ribosomal RNA", at positions 338 to 795 of the family's 1533-position model. The record is from RNAcentral.